UACGUAGGGUCCGAGCGUUGUCCGGAAUUACUGGGCGUAAAGAGCUCGUAGGUGGUUUGUCGCGUUGUUCGUGAAAACUCACAGCUUAACUGUGGGCGUGCGGGCGAUACGGGCAGACUGGAGUACUGCAGGGGAGACUGGAAUUCCUGGUGUAGCGGUGGAAUGCGCAGAUAUCAGGAGGAACACCAGUGGCGAAGGCGGCCCUCUGGGUCGACCCUGACGCUGAGGCGCGAAAGCGUGGGGAGCGAACGGG
RNAcentral lists this ribosomal RNA (253 nucleotides) under uncultured bacterium. Its description in RNAcentral is "partial 16S ribosomal RNA". It matches the Rfam family "Bacterial small subunit ribosomal RNA", at positions 524 to 776 of the family's 1533-position model. The record is from RNAcentral.